This 284-nucleotide long non-coding RNA is filed under the name Elaeis guineensis (African oil palm). RNAcentral describes it as "long non-coding RNA (EGUI_LNC057363)". The record is from RNAcentral. Lineage: Eukaryota; Viridiplantae; Streptophyta; Magnoliopsida; Arecales; Arecaceae.
CGAUAGCAUGAUUGCUUAUAGUGAGGCUAUUAGAGUUUGACUGCACAGAAACAUGAUCUUUUUGAGUCUUUAUAAGUAUAUGUUAGCAACAGUUGGUCUACUGUAGGAAUAAGAUGUGUAUCUAGAUAGAAUCUAUCGAUCUUGAUAGAAAAAAAUAAUCCUAUGGGAUUUGAAAAGCUGAGUCUGUAAAUCUAUGGCCACAGCAGUAUGAUUGAUGAAAAUUUUUUUUUAUGAGAAUCACAAUUAAAUUUGAGCUAAUCAAAUCUAUCAUAUGACUGAUGAUG